This 70-nucleotide transfer RNA is filed under the name Petropedetes sp. MVZ 234827. RNAcentral's name for it is "tRNA-Asp". Lineage: Eukaryota; Metazoa; Chordata; Amphibia; Anura; Petropedetidae. The record is from RNAcentral.
AAGAGAGUUUAGUUAAAAAUAACAUUGUCUUGUCAAGCCAAAAUCAUUAGCUAAUUACUAAUAACUCUUC